RNAcentral lists this ribosomal RNA (489 nucleotides) under uncultured bacterium. RNAcentral's name for it is "partial 16S ribosomal RNA". It matches the Rfam family "Bacterial small subunit ribosomal RNA", at positions 30 to 507 of the family's 1533-position model. The record is from RNAcentral.
UUGCACGCUGGCGGCAGGCCUAACACAUGCAAGUCGAACGGUAACAGAAAGCAGCUUGCUGCUUUGCUGACGAGUGGCGGACGGGUGAGUAAUGUCUGGGAAACUGCCUGAUGGAGGGGGAUAACUACUGGAAACGGUAGCUAAUACCGCAUAACGUCGCAAGACCAAAGAGGGGGACCUUCGGGCCUCUUGCCAUCGGAUGUGCCCAGAUGGGAUUAGCUAGUAGGUGGGGUAACGGCUCACCUAGGCGACGAUCCCUAGCUGGUCUGAGAGGAUGACCAGCCACACUGGAACUGAGACACGGUCCAGACUCCUACGGGAGGCAGCAGUGGGGAAUAUUGCACAAUGGGCGCAAGCCUGAUGCAGCCAUGCCGCGUGUAUGAAGAAGGCCUUCGGGUUGUAAAGUACUUUCAGCGGGGAGGAAGGGAGUAAAGUUAAUACCUUUGCUCAUUGACGUUACCCGCAGAAGAAGCACCGGCUAACUCCGUG